This 248-nucleotide unclassified non-coding RNA is filed under the name plant metagenome. RNAcentral describes it as "partial contains small subunit ribosomal RNA, internal transcribed spacer 1, and 5.8S ribosomal RNA". The record is from RNAcentral.
UUUCCGUAGGUGAACCUGCGGAAGGAUCAUAAAUGUAACCGGACCGUUCUUUUGCCAUCCACCGCAUUUUAUCGGAAAGGAAGAUAUCAUACUCCCUGUGUCUAUUUACCUUUGUUGCUUUCGCGGGCCGUCCUUUACUGCGCCUCCUUCGGCUGAUCAAGCCCUCAAGUGGAUAACAUCUCUUCUAUCAGUGUUUUCUUAGUACUAUACAAUAGUUAAAACUUUCAACAACGGAUCCCUUGGUUCUG